GGAAGCGUGUGGGAUGACACAACUAAGCAUCGAUCGUUAUGUAGAUCACUAUGUGGCAGAUCUGUUCAGUUAGUGUUAUCAUAUGUCGUCUUGAGCUUUUCAGAUCAUCCGAUAAGCUUCUUGAUUUCAGAUUCCCGAUUGCGCAUGCAACUUCGUUUUAAGAUCACGAAUUUGCACGCCUGCACGGUCGAAUCUUCAUUCCUCAUAGUACCGCGAUUUCCAAAUUUGGGGGGUAAUCGAUUUGGUCAGAGGUAAUUUAUCGCUUCCACAUGCAGGCACUGCUGAUGGCGGUACGCCAUCUUUUUUUG
Molecule: small nuclear RNA, 308 nt
Filed under: Atta cephalotes
Lineage: Eukaryota; Metazoa; Arthropoda; Insecta; Hymenoptera; Formicidae
Description: arthropod 7SK RNA
Rfam family: Arthropod 7SK RNA
Source: Rfam by way of RNAcentral